AGUCCAGACAGCCUGUCAGGAAGAGGCAGUCCUGAAUUUUGUCUUCCCAACUGAAAAGAAAUUCUGAGAACACGGUUGUCACAUCUUUACUCCUUUAGUUUAUGUUACAGAGGACAGUGUAGUGCUUGGUGUACAGGUGUUUAGUGCCUGGCUUUUAACCUGAAUCUGAGUUGGAGAAUAAAUUGAUUAUGUCUCCAUGGUUAGGACAGCAGUCAAUAACAUUUUUUAUGUGGGAGUUUGAACUUGGGGCUCCCUGUUAGCAUGUUGAAGCCGGUUUCUCCUACUUCUUCUAGGGUUUAGAUAAUAGGGCCGACGUCAAAAGUUGUGCUGUAUAUUUCUGCAGUCACUUGGAAAUUGUACCAGCUCAUUAAGAGCACGGCUCAUUAUUUAUUCGUUCAUCCAUCCAUUUGUUAAUGUGUUUGUUCAUUUUACUCUUUAACCAUUCAGCAAGUAUUGAUUGAGCAACUGAAAUGUCAUUCAUACCAUAUGAGUUGGCAUAUGAUAGCAUCCAAAUGAAAAUGUAUAUAAAGCAUUAUUAAUAUCAAUUAUGAAGGGGAGGGGAGAAGUGAGCAAAA
RNAcentral lists this long non-coding RNA (575 nucleotides) under Bos taurus (domestic cattle). Its description in RNAcentral is "long non-coding RNA NONBTAT023441". The record is from RNAcentral. Lineage: Eukaryota; Metazoa; Chordata; Mammalia; Artiodactyla; Bovidae.